CGGUCUCUCCAGGAAAGCGCUCCCUCUGUGAGCCUCAGGUUCCUAUAUCAGUAAAUCAGGGGGAUGACUCCAGUUCUCCCAAAUCCCUCCUAAGUUAAAGUGAAAGUCGUUCAGUGGUGUUUGACUCCUUGCAACCCCAUGGACUGUCCAUAGAAUUCUCCAGGCCAGAAUACCCUUUCCCUUACUCCAGGGGAUCUUCCUGACCCAGAAAUCGAACCGGAGUCUCCAGCAUUGCUGGCGGAUUCUUUACCAACUGAGCUAUAAGAGAAGCCUCCAAACUCCUCCUCACUCAGGCACUGAAUAGACAAAGGUUAAAUCAAGCUAUUGCUGCGGGCUUGUUACCAUUUCUGUAAGAGCAGAAAUGAAACUCUAGGUAAGAGCGGGCAGAUCAAACUUCAAAGUAAAUGAGCCCAAGUUCCGGGCCCAUCGGGUCUUCGCGGGUUCGAGCCCCAGUCUCCAGCGAAGCAGGCUGGCGAGACUCAGGAGUUCUGGCCCGAGACUCCCUUCGGUUGACAAACGGCGGGGCUGGGGGACAGAGUCUCAUGUGUCCAGAGGGCUGCGCCCCGCCGGAAAGGGGAACCGGGGGUCGCGGCGAGAAGUGCGAGCUAGGAGGCACCGCCAAGGCAGGUGGGAGCCUGGCCUGCCGAGUCGGAUCGGGGUCCGAGAGCGCGGAGUUUGGCAAGGAUGGGAGGUAACCACCCCACCCCCCGGGAGGUGCCAGGAGGCUGCAGCGUCCGCGCCUACUGCGCGCCUUGUUUGGGGGUUGGAGCUCGCAGUUGGCAGAGGCGGGCGCGCCGCGCGAAGGGGCUGAGCUCACGGGCCGGAGGCAGAGGGUUCGCAGCAGGAACCAGCUCCAGGGAUUCAUCCUCCUCUCGGCGACUCCGAGGCCCGGGACGCAGAGGCAAGGAAGGACUCACCAGUGGCUGCCCAGCCCAACUAGUCGGCGACCUAGAGGCUGCGGACUCGCCGAACGCCGGCCGUGGCGCACUAGGGAUCCGGGGAGCCUCUCGCCGGCUCCCUUCACGCCCCGCGCGGAGUCGAUCUCGGGAGCUCUGGCCCGUCAUCUCCCGCCCAAACCCAGCCCUGGCCGCCCGACACCUUGUGAGCCGGACAGAAGGGAAAAGUAAGAUUCCAUGACUGUCUUCUAAAUUCGAACGAAAAUCGUACUGCCUCUUGUCCUGUCUACGUUCCUGCUGCCAAUCCUGAGGGUGACUCUUGUUGGAAAGAAAUAGACCAAAGAAAUAAAUGAAAGGCUGUUUUUAAAG
RNAcentral lists this long non-coding RNA (1265 nucleotides) under Bos mutus (wild yak). RNAcentral describes it as "lncRNA (ENSBMUG00000025625.1)". The record is from RNAcentral. Lineage: Eukaryota; Metazoa; Chordata; Mammalia; Artiodactyla; Bovidae.